Molecule: long non-coding RNA, 1616 nt
Organism: Sorex araneus (European shrew)
Lineage: Eukaryota; Metazoa; Chordata; Mammalia; Eulipotyphla; Soricidae
Exons: 2
Source: RefSeq, a predicted model, not a curated record
UGAUUGUGGGGUGUGGCCCCGAGACCCCUGGGCACUGCUGGGAAGUUUUCUCCCAUCACCAGUCACCACGUGGACUCUCUCCCCACCCCAUGUGCUCCCCUUUGCCAGGGCUCUCUAGAAGCUGGCUCAUGGGGCCUCUUGCCCACGAUUGCCUCUUCCUGCAGAGGCCAGGGGUACCCACAGCUGGCUGUCAGUGGGCACUGCUGCCCCCACCCAAGGAUCUGAGGUGUGUGUGUGUGUGUGUGUGUGUGUGUGUGUGUGUGUGUAUGUGUGCAUUCGAAACUCAGAGGCAACCUCAACUGCCUAGUUGGCGGCAGUGGCAGUGUAGAGCAGUGGUCUCCAACCCUGGGUCCAACCCAGGGUCAGGUGAGGAGGUUGGAAGCCCCUGGCCUGCCACCUGGUCAGAGGCACGUUUACUGGUCUGUGGACAUGCUGGUCAGGGUGGUGUGUGGUGUGGAGGGCUGGAGGACGCUGCCCUCGACCCAGCCUCUGCCCUCCCUCCUGGUAUCUGGCCACUGUCAAGGGCGCUGGGGGGUGAGGCCAGGACACCGGCCUCUCAGCUGCAUGAGGAUGGAGUAACAUUGAGCUGCCUUGGCCAGCACGGGUACAAGCUGGACACCAGAAAAUGCAGGGCCCUAUACGGCCGCCACCAUCAUCCCUGGAGACACCUGGGCUGACAGGGAGUGUGUGGCGUGGAGCCUGUCCUACUGAGAAGGGACACAAGGGUCCAGCCUGGCCAUGGGGCUCAGGAUUUGGGGCCAGUGAUGCCCGGGGCUGCUGAGCCAUCCAGAGCACUGCUGGGCGCUGCCUGCCACCAGUCCACAGAUGAGUGGAAUAUCUGGAGUGUGUCCUCCCUUCGAAUGAUCUCACUGAACACGAUGCCCUCCAGUUCAUCCCUGUAGUUCGAAUCGCAUGGUUUCCGCCUUCUUGUGGCCAUACCCGAAUCCAUUGUGCUUAUUGUGCUUACAGAUGAUACCUCUGUGCGUGCCCCUGCUGUUGGGUAUUUGGGCUGUUCCCAUAGCCUGGCUGCUGUGCCAAGUGCUGCAAUGAACAUAGGUGUGCAUAGAGCUUUACAAAUUAACGUCUUUGUGUUUGGGGGUGGGGGUAGAGGUCAAGAAGUGGCAUCAUUGGGUCAUACGGAAGCUCUGUUCUUACUUUCCGAGAAGGCGCCAUACUGUCUCCCAUAAAGACUGAUCCAGACGGUAUUCCUUUUUCCAUCACAACCAACCAUCCCUGCCAACCCUGGCCACAGUUCUGUGCUUGGGGCUUGCUCUUGGUGGAGCUCAGAAUACAAGCAGUGUGGGGAAUGGAACCCGGGGCUCCCACAUGUAAAGCUGUGGUGGCCCAUGGAGCAUCUCUCUGGCCCCUCUCCACUAUCCUUUCACUAGCUCAGCCUAUUCUGCAGUAUUUUCCUCCUGGCUGAUGGUGGGGAGGAACUGAUUCAGAUCUGAGACUUUUCCAAAGCCACCAUUCAAACAGCCUUUUCUGUUUAUGUACAUUUUUUUAAAUUUUGUGGUGGUGAGAGAUCAAACCCGGGGCCUGCUACAGAGCUAUUUAUGGAACAUUUUAUUUUCUUUUUAAUUGAAAAAUAAACUGCAUAUCACGAUGGUAAGAUA